UACUAACUCUGGCGGCGUGCUUAACACAUGCAAGUCGAACGGAAAGGCUCCAGCUUGCUGGAGUCCUCGAGUGGCGAACGGGUGAGUAACACGUGGGUAAUCUGCCCUGCACUCUGGGAUAAGCCUGGGAAACUGGGCCUAAUACUGGAUAUGACCUUUCUCCUUAUGGGGUUUGGUGGAAAGUUUUUCGGUGUAGGAUGAGCCCGCGGCCUAUCAGCUUGUUGGUGGGGUGAUGGCCUACCAAGGCGACGACGGGUAGCCGGCCUGAGAGGGUGAUCGGCCACAUUGGGACUGAGAUACGGCCCAGACUCCUACGGGAGGCAGCAGUGGGGAAUAUUGCACAAUGGGCGGAAGCCUGAUGCAGCGACGCCGCGUGAGGGAUGACGGCCUUCGGGUUGUAAACCUCUUUCAGCAGGGACGAAGCGUAAGUGACGGUACCUGCAGAAGAAGCACCGGCUAACUAUGUG
This 467-nucleotide ribosomal RNA is filed under the name uncultured bacterium. Its description in RNAcentral is "partial 16S ribosomal RNA". It matches the Rfam family "Bacterial small subunit ribosomal RNA", at positions 29 to 507 of the family's 1533-position model. The record is from RNAcentral.